GACGAACGCUGGCGGCGUGCUUAACACAUGCAAGUCGAACGAAAAGGCCCUGCUUUUGUGGGGUGCUCGAUUGGCGAACGGGUGAGUAACACGUGAGUAACCUGCCCUUGACUUUGGGAUAACUUCAGGGAACUGGGGAGAAUACCGGAGAGGAUCUCCUGCUGCAUGUGGGUGGUUGGAGAAUUUCGGCGGUUGGGGAUGGACUCGCGGCUUAUCAGCUUGUUGGUGAGGUUGUGGCUUACCAAGGAUUUGACGGGUAGCCGGCCUGAGAGGGUGACCGGCCACAUUGGGACUGAGAUACGGCCCAGACUCCUACGGGAGGCAGCAGUGGGGAAUAUUGCACAAUGGGCGGAAGCCUGAUGCAGCAACGCCGCGUGCGGGAUGACGGCCUUCGGGUUGUAAACCGCUUUCGCCUGUGACGAAGCGUGAGUGACGGUAAUGGGUAAAGAAGCACCGGCUAACUACGUG
Molecule: ribosomal RNA, 468 nt
Filed under: uncultured bacterium
Lineage: Bacteria
Description: partial 16S ribosomal RNA
Rfam family: Bacterial small subunit ribosomal RNA
Source: RNAcentral